UACGUAGGUGGCAAGCGUUGUCCGGAUUUACUGGGCGUAAAGAGCGCGUAGGCGGCCAUACAGGUCCGUUGUGAAAACUCGAGGCUCAACCUCGAGACGUCGAUGGAAACCGUAUGGCUAGAGUCCGGAAGAGGAGAGUGGAAUUCCUGGUGUAGCGGUGAAAUGCGCAGAUAUCAGGAAGAACACCCGUGGCGAAGGCGGCUCUCUGGGACGGUACUGACGCUGAGACGCGAAAGCGUGGGGAGCGAACAGG
RNAcentral lists this ribosomal RNA (253 nucleotides) under uncultured bacterium. RNAcentral's name for it is "partial 16S ribosomal RNA". It matches the Rfam family "Bacterial small subunit ribosomal RNA", at positions 524 to 776 of the family's 1533-position model. The record is from RNAcentral.